UACAGCGGCUGAGCGAAAAGUGAAGAGAGUGAAGAGUGGUGGUUUUAUCAUAAUAAUAGUAAUAAUAACAAUAACAAUUAAAAGCUCUGUUGUGCAUAUCUGGCGUCUGAAGAUGAGCUUGUGUACCACUCUACCAGAAGAGAGAGAGAGUCUCUCUGUAUGUCUUUAAUUUCAGAGAGAGAAUUCUCUCUCUAUUUUUAUUACUGAAACCAACUCUCUUUCUCUCAGAACCUCAUGCCAUGAGAGAGAGAGACAGAG
This 258-nucleotide unclassified non-coding RNA is filed under the name Hevea brasiliensis (rubber tree). The record is from RNAcentral. Lineage: Eukaryota; Viridiplantae; Streptophyta; Magnoliopsida; Malpighiales; Euphorbiaceae.